This 253-nucleotide ribosomal RNA is filed under the name uncultured bacterium. RNAcentral's name for it is "partial 16S ribosomal RNA". It matches the Rfam family "Bacterial small subunit ribosomal RNA", at positions 524 to 776 of the family's 1533-position model. The record is from RNAcentral.
UACGUAGGGUCCAAGCGUUAUCCGGAAUCACUGGGCGUAAAGCGUGCGUAGGUGGCGCGUUAAGUGAGAUGUUAAAACGUGGGGCUCAACCCUGUCGGUGCAUCUCAUACUGGCGUGCUAGAGGACAGCAGAGGCAAGUGGAAUUAGCAGUGUAGCAGUGAAAUGCGUAGAUAUUGCUAGGAACACCAAUGGCGAAGGCAGCUUGCUGGGCUACUCCUGACACUGAGGUACGAAAGCGUGGGGAGCGAACAGG